AAGACUGUACUUCCAGGGAUCGUUUCCAUGGUUUGUUGCUAGAGAAGCUUCUCUGAACACGGAGAGCACCCGCAACCACGAGGAGGAGAUGGCGUGUUCUCUCCUGAGCGCGAAGCCAGGUCUUGGUGUUGCUUCCGUAACUGCCGUUUGCCAUUGAUGAUUGUUUGUCUUUCUCCUUGGAGGAAGUAAGAGGGAGAGAACACCAUCUGAGUGGU
This is a small nucleolar RNA of Phyllostomus discolor (pale spear-nosed bat), 215 nucleotides long. RefSeq annotates it as small nucleolar RNA U3. The transcript has a single exon. NCBI's taxonomy places the organism in Eukaryota, Metazoa, Chordata, Mammalia, Chiroptera, Phyllostomidae. The record is from RefSeq and is a predicted model, not a curated record.